RNAcentral lists this ribosomal RNA (116 nucleotides) under Colletotrichum orbiculare MAFF 240422. Lineage: Eukaryota; Fungi; Ascomycota; Sordariomycetes; Glomerellales; Glomerellaceae. The record is from RNAcentral.
ACGACCAUACCCACUGGAGAACUCGGGAUCCCGUCCGCUCUCCCAUAGAUAAGCCAGUGAGGGCCGGAUUAGUAGUCGGGUCGGUGACGACCAGCGAAUACCUGGUGUUGUAUGUU